AUGACUCGCCGGCUUCUAAUCACAGGGGCCCCAACAGCCACGGAACCGCAUCACGAUGCCCGUAACGGUCACCGCUCAGUGCUGCGCCCUAGGCGGUGGGCAAGGCAGCGAGUUCGAUUUCCUUCCAACACUGAAGAGUGCAAGCUGGAGUGUUGUGGAGUGUUGUUUAUUCUCAAAGGGGGCGGGGGACACAGUCUUGAGGAUAACCACGGGGACCUCUCGGUUGAAAUCCUAGCACUCUUUCGGAUGACCCCACAAGAGCACAGAGGAGGACCCCUGUGGCUGUGAUUCGAACAAAGGUUCCGGGCCACACUGGUAUAAUUUACAGUGGAGAUGAGGAAAUAACUUUUCAGGAUUGCUUGGGCUGCUGUUUUGAAAUGAGACAGAAGAGGAUCAAGGCCCAAUGCAGGAAGACCCUUUAGGAGGCUACUCCGUGAUCCAGGGCACCUAGAACAAAACUGAACUUUUGUGACGUUAGGCUGUCUCCUCACAACUUGAUGAUGCCUUCAGGCUCUAGUGAGGAAUAUCUCCACACAUGGUUUGUUCUGAUACAGACAUAUCCAACCUCUUCAUUCCAAACUACUGUCUCCAAAAGAGAAUGUGGCAUGUGUGUGUAACUGAGUAGCACAUAGAAGGAAGAAGAAGGCAACCGUGGCUGAAAGCGACCCCACUCAAUCUCAUUCAUGACCAUGAGCUCCUUGAGAGAAGAAUCAAGCAAGCUCUUCUUCGCUUCUCUUGUGCCUGGUAAUUUACCAUGGAGAGACCUUCAAGAUGGCGGAGAAGUAAGACAUGGAG
Long non-coding RNA from Balaenoptera musculus (blue whale), 795 nucleotides. RefSeq lists it as uncharacterized. The transcript has 6 exons. NCBI's taxonomy places the organism in Eukaryota, Metazoa, Chordata, Mammalia, Artiodactyla, Balaenopteridae. The record is from RefSeq and is a predicted model, not a curated record.